This 447-nucleotide ribosomal RNA is filed under the name uncultured bacterium. RNAcentral describes it as "bacterial SSU rRNA". It matches the Rfam family "Bacterial small subunit ribosomal RNA", at positions 28 to 457 of the family's 1533-position model. The record is from RNAcentral.
GAUGAACGCUGGCGGCGUGCUUAACACAUGCAAGUCGAGCGAAGCAGUUAAGUUGAUUUCUUCGGAUUGAUUCUUAAUUGACUGAGCGGCGGACGGGUGAGUAACGCGUGGGUGACCUGCCCCAUACCGGGGGAUAACAGCUGGAAACGGCUGCUAAUACCGCAUAAGCGCACAGAGCUGCAUGGCUCAGUGUGAAAAACUCCGGUGGUAUGGGAUGGGCCCGCGUCUGAUUAGGCAGUUGGCGGGGUAACGGCCCACCAAACCGACGAUCAGUAGCCGGCCUGAGAGGGCGACCGGCCACAUUGGGACUGAGACACGGCCCAAACUCCUACGGGAGGCAGCAGUGGGGAAUAUUGCACAAUGGGGGAAACCCUGAUGCAGCGACGCCGCGUGAGCGAAGAAGUAUUUCGGUAUGUAAAGCUCUAUCAGCAGGGAAGAUAAUGACGG